UGAUCGGUGGUGUAGUGGUAGCAGUAUAAGACUGUCGUUCUUAUGGCCCGGGUUCGAUUCCCGGCUGAUCAG
This is a non-coding RNA of Tritrichomonas musculus, 72 nucleotides long. The record is from the annotation of a GenBank genome assembly. Lineage: Eukaryota; Parabasalia; Tritrichomonadida; Tritrichomonadidae.